RNAcentral lists this long non-coding RNA (1683 nucleotides) under Lactuca sativa (garden lettuce). RNAcentral describes it as "long non-coding RNA (LSAT_LNC005046)". Lineage: Eukaryota; Viridiplantae; Streptophyta; Magnoliopsida; Asterales; Asteraceae. The record is from RNAcentral.
ACUUUAGGGUAUUUGAGCCAUGAGAGGGGUAAAAUGGUCUUUUACCCUCCUUAGAGUGCUAAGAGAUGGAAUGGUCUAGCCUUGGGAAAUGUGUUGAUGCUGAGUGUUUAUUUCAUAUGAUUAGGCGGAGGCUAGAUCCUAUUUCACAGAGUCUGAGAUUUCUGAGUUACCGAGUUACGCGAGGUGAGUCUUCUCACUAUAUGUUACCUAGAGUGGUAUUAUGUGUUGACCGGAGGGUCUUAUGUGUUAUGUAUGAGAUUGUGCGUUAUGAAUGAGAUUAUGUGCUAUGUGAUAUAUAUGUGUGUUAUAUGAUUGUAUAGACCGGACCGGAGGGUCCAACGAUAUAGACCGGACCGGAGGGUCCAACGAUACAGACCGGACCGGAGGGUCCAACGAUUCAGACCGGAACAGAGGGCCCAACGAGUUAUGACCGGACCAGAGGAUCCAACGAGCUACGGGACUAGCGGGUCCCGAUGAGACACAUCGACCGGAGGGUCGUACUAUAGCCUCGAGUGGAGUAUGUGUUGUAUGGGGUAUUUUGGGUAACUCACUAAGCAUUUAUGCUUACAGUUGUUGUGUUAUGUGUUUCAGGUACUAGCAAGGACCGUGGGAAGGCACCGGCGUGACCCGUACACACAGAGAUGAGAUUUGAUUUGUGAUCUUGGGAAUAUGUUUUAUUUGAAACUAUUGUGGAACUCUUGUUUUGAGAGUGUUUUAAAUAUAAAUUUGGUGGUUGAAAAAUGAAAAUUUUGUUUUGAAGAUUACGUCGUUACAAGUUGGUAUCAGAGCAUUGGUUUGAGGGACUCGAAUGCACCUUCGGGCGUAUCUGAACUCAAACUGAGGAUUUGAGAAAUUUUCAACAAUAAAACUAAUUUUUCUAAAAAGAGCAAGAGGUUUUGAGACAACCAGAGCGGAGCUGUAUGUACGGUCGUGGAUAUUGAGUCAUCCAAUCUUGGUCGUGGAUAUUGAGUCAUGCAUAAGUUAUGGUCUUAAUAUGGAAAGAGGAAAGGUGUUUUGAGUGAGAGGUGACCCUUACAGCCAUGCAAAGGCUUAAAGGUUUCAACUUUAUGGAGUAGGAAACCAUAGAGAAGUCAGAUCUAGAAUAUGAGUUCUUGUCUUAACCGUUUAAGACCAAAAUCCACAAAAUGGCUGAACUGGGAUUUAUGCUAGGCGUAAUCCCAGUACGCGCAGAUUAGGGGGUCGCGCACCCCGAUUCUGUGAAGGCACCGAGUACGCCUAGCCUACAUGUUUGGUACGCACAGCGUAACCCGGAGGGUUGACUUUUGUUGACUUUUAGGGUUUGGUCAACUUUAGUGUCUUUGAGCCAUGAGAGGGGUAAAAUGGUCUUUUACCCUUUUGAGAGUACUAAGAGAGGGAAUAGUCUAGCCUUGAGAGAUGUAUUGAUUUAGAGUGUUUAUUUCAUAUGAUUAGNUCCUAUUUCACAGAGUCUGAGAUUUCUGAGUUACCGAGUUACGCGAGGUGAGUCUUCUCACUAUAUGUUACCUAGAGUGGUAUUAUGUGUUGACCGGAGGGUCUUAUGUGUUAUGUAUGAGAUUGUGCGUUAUGAAUGAGAUUAUGUGCUAUGUGAUAUAUAUGUGUGUUAUAUGAUUGUAUAGACCGGACCGGAGGGUCCAACGAUAUAGACCGGACCGGAGGGUCCAACGAUACAGACCGGACCGGAGG